Non-coding RNA from Camelina sativa (false flax), 689 nucleotides. Lineage: Eukaryota; Viridiplantae; Streptophyta; Magnoliopsida; Brassicales; Brassicaceae. The record is from RefSeq and is a predicted model, not a curated record.
AAAAAAAUAAAAUCAGAGAAAAAAAUCUUUGCCUGAUUUGAUAACUGGUUCUUCUUCUCUUUCAUCUUUCUUUUUUUCUCCAAUGAGAGAGAGAUACGGAUGAUGGGUUAAAAAAAAAGUUACCGGCGGUCUCGGAUUCGCUUGGUGCAGGUUGGGAACUGAUUGGCUGACACCGACUUUUGUUUUGUCGUCAUGGUUGGUUUGUCAGCUCCCGCCUUGCAUCAACUGAAUCGGAGUCUGAGGUGAAAAUAUAAAAAGGAUCCGAAUAUUAGAUCUGACUCGAUCUUCAUCUUACGGUUGGGCCGAAGAGAAAUGGAGAAAGAAGCGGAAACAGACCUUAAAAAGAGUUUCUAUACAACAUAGGUUCGAAGCUAUAGAUAAAUGGGAAAGCGUUUCAUGCUCUCAAGAACCACCAAAAUUCCAUAAUCAAGCUCAGGUUAAGAUAGCGUCAUUGCUUUGUGGCCUAUGCAGACCAAGUCAAGAUCAUCUUCUUCCUCGUCUUAACCUGAGCUUUAAUAAUUGGUAUUAUAGUAUUAAUUCCAUUCUUCUUUUUUUCUUGACCUUGUAAGACUUUUUUUUUUACUCUUUUCUGUUUUUUUUACUAUUUCCAUCUUUUAGAUUUCUCGAUUCUGUCGAGUAUAGUUUUACUAAAUAGAUCAAGAUUUUGUUGUAUACUGUUAGAAUUCAUA